AUAGGAGAAAAAGAAAGGAACGUGCGAAAUUUGGCGCCUGAUAGCGCCACGAUGGUGCAUUCUCAAGGAAAAUAAACCGUUCGCUGUCUGACUAUUUGAUUUAUGAGCGCGGGCGACAACCUACCGCACGGCAUACCGAAAUAGAUCAAGAGGAGAACCAUUGCAGUGCAUGCGCGAGGUAAAUCUGUCGCCGUAACAACCACUGCACCUUAUUUUCUAUAGAGCGUUUAUCAGACAUCAGUUUAUACAUCUUGUUUAGUAGUACGGUGUUUCACGAGAGUGAAAGAAAGAAACUGAUAAGAAAGAAAAGGAAAAUGAGAGUAUCAUUUUCAUACAUCUGUGGAAGUUAGUAAGGGAAGCAGGGAGAAUGUUGAAAAACGCGGUAAAAGUACUCAACAUGUGACGAACAGACCGUGAAGGAAGGCAAGGUAAAUCACCUUAUAUAUUAAUAUGCAUGCACAUACAUUGCGUGGGCGCUGACCAUUAAGGUGUUGUUACGACAUCAGAUGCAGAGUACACACGUUUGUAAAUACCACUUUACAUGGAACACAUUUGGACGCGUGUAUGUUACACGAUCUGUUCCGUAUUUGGAAUAUCAGCAUUAGAGUGAAUCUUCAUAUUUAUACUGAACAUACGUCACAAAUCAGUAUAUCUAAUCAUAAUCAUAAUCUCGGAGAAAGUUAACUGGUUUAUUUGAAGAACGCAUCCUUUUAAGACCCCUUUUAGUGUUUGUAUACUUCUUCACCACAACGAGCCGGAAAUGGAUCUUUAUAUCUAACUAGAC
Molecule: long non-coding RNA, 784 nt
Organism: Apis cerana (Asiatic honeybee)
Lineage: Eukaryota; Metazoa; Arthropoda; Insecta; Hymenoptera; Apidae
Source: RefSeq, a predicted model, not a curated record